CUCAAUCAAUGCUUUGUCUUCUCUCCCUCUCUCCUCUCGCACGUUCAUUUCUUUUCUUUUCUUUGUGGCCGUCGCUUUCCCUUCUGUUCUUAUCCCUUAGCUGGCCAAUAUUGACUUUGAUUUCUCCCUUGUCCCCUUCUCUCUUGCGCCACCGCCUCAGCCGAACAGCUCAGCUGCUACCCUCCUUCGGCUUCUCUCUCAAUCUUUUCUCUUCUAUUUCUAUUUCCUUUUGUUCCCUCUCCCUUCGAGCGAACCGAAGCACCAUCUUCUGUCUUCUUCUUUCCCCCACCGAGGCCUCACGCCAAUUGCAGCACCACGUCCGAACCCCCAUCUUCUUCAGUCAACCAACAAAGCUUAUUUGACCCCAAAGCCCCACCAUUUGGACGCCGCCUCACCUGCGAAGCCGAAUCCAGCGCCUGCAAGCCCACGCUUCAAGCAGCCCAUCGAAGACCGAAGCAGCCGUGUCUUUUCUUUCCUUCGUCCGAGCCUUCACCUUCUUCGAUCCACGCCCAGCAAACGCUGAGCUUGCUGCCCUCUCCUCCACGCGGCCAAGAAUCGAGCCGCUCCUUUAUUGGCCCAUCUCCGCAAGCCCAGCCUCGGCGUUGAUUCCAUCUUCGUCCAGCAACAAAUCGAAGACAGCCCAAUUUCGCUAAGUGCAGCAGCUCGAACAGCAAGUUUGUUGGCCGUUUUCAGCCGAUAUGAGUGUCCCUCGGUCUCGCCGUGAGUUCAAGUCUCGGCUGCCGUUGCGCUGCCGUCGCUGUGAGCUGAUUUUGGGGUUUAAAUGGUGAGUCGCGUUCUAAUCCUUUAUUAGUGUGCUAAUGACACUUAGAGGUGUGUUAGUUAGCUAAUUGGUGGAUUAGUUAUGUUAAUUAGGUUUAGGAUGGCUUAGUUAGAUUAAGUAUAUAGUUAGUAGUUAGUUGGUUUAUUUAGUUUAGUUAGAUGUAUUAGUUAGGAAUUAGUUAGUUUAUUUAGUUAGUGUACUUAGAUUAAAUUAUAUAGGAUGUUUAGAUUUAAUUGUUAAUUAGAUUAUUUAGUUUAGUUAGUUUAGGUUAAUUUAAUUAAAUUCUUUAAAUUUAUUUAUUUUGUAAUUUAUUUAAUUAUUAAUUAUUUUCCGGAAAUUAGGCCGGGAUAGCCGGUGACCGAAAUUUCGUGCUGAUUGUAAUGGCGUGUUCAAUUUAUGCAAUUGAGUGUUAAUUUAUGUAAAUUGAGUGCUGAUUGAAAUUUUGAGUAUUUAAUUCCAAAAAUUGUGAAAUUCAUUAUUUAUUUAGAAAAUCCCAGGUAUCGGGUUUUAACACCAAAAAUGGUUUUAUGUAAUAUAUAGACUAGUGGGAUUUUAAAUUGGAGGAUAUCAAUUUUUUGAGUGUGAAUUGACCGUGUACCUACAUAUGACUAUUUUAUCGUGUAUUUCUAAUACGAAGAAAAUAGGCCAGGUUCACUAUUUUAACUGAGACAUUUGAGAGCAAUGCACAGUGUCCUGGGCCGAGAUUGAUUGGUCGUGUGUUGAUUAAGAGAAAUCGUCUUGGGCUGUUAAGCCGGAUGUUACCCAUUCAUUGGGACUUGGGUCGCAGCAGAUUCUGGACUUACGUCCCUUCGGGGAAGCCGUCUAAUUGAGAGACGUUACCAUGCUCAAAGGAGGUGAGACGACCCCUAGCAAUGCCAAAAGACCGCCAAAUUUAGAGUUGACCGUACCCUUGAGGGGUGUAAUUAACAAUUGGAACGCAUGAUUGUUGAGUUUGAUGCACCCGAUUAUGAGACCAAAACUGUGUGACAUGGAAUGGGACAAUGUCAUAACGGUUUGACCUUAUAAUUAGGACCCCGGUGAUUAAUUGAAUUGAUGAGGUGUUCCAGUUGUUAUGUGCAUUGAUUAUAUGUAUUGCAAUAUGAACUAUACUGACGUGCAUGAAAGGAAACUGAGGCGAGGUAAGUCCUCUGUGUCAAUUGAGUGGUUGUGUGGUUAUGACACUUCUGGGUGUAUUUCCCUCAUAAUCGGGGCUUAGACUGUGAACUUGCUGAGAUUUAUAUCUCACAUUGUCGUGAGCUUAAAAUUUUCAGGGUCGUAGAGGGAGGACCUGGAGCUAAGCUGAGGUGACCUGAAGAAUAGGUCAGAUAGGACAACCUCUUUUUUAGAACUAGUCUUUUGGUUAUAGACUUGUGUAAAAGAUUCAGUAUGUUUAUAAAAGUGUGGUUUGUUUGUGAAUGUGAUGUCCUGCUUUUCUAUCCCGAGAUAGUUAUUGUUAGGGGAUUUAUUAUUUGCUUCCGCAUGUGCAAUAAAAGAAAAGGGUCGGCGACUCGUUUUGGG
RNAcentral lists this long non-coding RNA (2299 nucleotides) under Eucalyptus grandis. RNAcentral describes it as "long non-coding RNA (EGRA_LNC000436)". The record is from RNAcentral. Lineage: Eukaryota; Viridiplantae; Streptophyta; Magnoliopsida; Myrtales; Myrtaceae.